AACGAACGCUGGCGGCAUGCCUAACACAUGCAAGUCGAACGAGACCUUCGGGUCUAGUGGCGCACGGGUGCGUAACGCGUGGGAAUCUGCCCUUGGGUUCGGAAUAACAGUUAGAAAUGACUGCUAAUACCGGAUAAUGUCUUCGGACCAAAGAUUUAUCGCCCAGGAUGAGCCCGCGUAGGAUUAGCUAGUUGGUGAGGUAAAAGGCUCACCAAGGCGACGAUCCCUAGCUGGUCUGAGAGGAUGAUCAGCCACACUGGGACUGAGACACGGCCCAGACUCCUACGGGAGGCAGCAGUGGGGAAUAUUGGACAAUAGGGCGAAAGGA
RNAcentral lists this ribosomal RNA (328 nucleotides) under uncultured bacterium. RNAcentral describes it as "bacterial SSU rRNA". It matches the Rfam family "Bacterial small subunit ribosomal RNA", at positions 29 to 386 of the family's 1533-position model. The record is from RNAcentral.